This is a long non-coding RNA of Ipomoea nil (Japanese morning glory), 609 nucleotides long. RefSeq lists it as uncharacterized. The transcript has 2 exons. Lineage: Eukaryota; Viridiplantae; Streptophyta; Magnoliopsida; Solanales; Convolvulaceae. The record is from RefSeq and is a predicted model, not a curated record.
CAAGAGAUCUUUCUUGUACAUUUGUACACAAAAAUAAGUCUCAAAUAGAAAAUUACAUUAAUGGCUCGAUCCUUUAAACUGUUUGUCACUAUGUCCCUUUUGUUGGUCCUCCUUACUUCUCCUGAGAUGGGUCCAAUGAUGCUUGGAGAAUCAUCACGACAAUGUGAUCCAACUACCAAGAUUUGCAUGAACGCUAGUAAUUGCACUAAAUAUUGCCGUAAUAAACGUUUUAUGCGCUAUGAUGGAGGUGAAUGCUACGAAUUAAAUUGUUGCUGCUAUCCACCGAAGCCACCGGAUUCACCGGAGGAGUAAUACAAUAAUUGUGGUACGGUGAUUGUGGGGAGUUUUGGGUUUUACAAUCAAGCUUCAAAUGGCUCCUCUAAAGUGAUUGGAAAUAAAACUCUGAGGGGAUUAGUAUUUGUUGUUUUAUUACAAAAUAUUUCUUUCUUUUUAGCAUUAUAUUAUAGCUUUAUGUAUUUUACGUAAGAGUAUCGUGAUUGAAUACAACAUAAUAUACGUGAAGUGCAGCAUUGAGUUUGUUAAAUGUACACUUUUGAUUGAACACUACCAAAUAAUGUAUGUUGUGACAUAUACAAGUGUAUUCGAUUA